GGUGGCCUGUGAGGGUUGCUGGAGGUAUCAGAAGUGCGAAUGCUGACAUAAGUAACGAUAAAGCGGGUGAAAAGCCCGCUCGCCGGAAGACCAAGGGUUCCUGUCCAACGUUAAUCGGGGCAGGGUGAGUCGACCCCUAAGGCGAGGCCGAAAGGCGUAGUCGAUGGGAAACGGGUUAAUAUUCCCGUACUUGGUGUUACUGCGAAGGGGGGACGGAGAAGGCUAUGUUGGCCGGGCGACGGUUGUCCCGGUUUAAGCGUGUAGGUGUGUGUUCCAGGUAAAUCCGGUUCACUUUAACACUGAGGCGUGACGACGAGGCACUACGGUGCUGAAGCAACAAAUGCCCUGCUUCCAGGAAAAGCCUCUAAGCAUCAGGUAACAUCAAAUCGUACCCCAAACCGACACAGGUGGUCAGGUAGAGAAUACCAAGGCGCUUGAGAGAACUCGGGUGAAGGAACUAGGCAAAAUGGUGCCGUAACUUCGGGAGAAGGCACGCUGACACGUAGGUGAAGUGAUUUACUCAUGGAGCUGAAGUCAGUCGAAGAUACCAGCUGGCUGCAACUGUUUAUUAAAAACACAGCACUGUGCAAACACGAAAGUGGACGUAUACGGUGUGACGCCUGCCCGGUGCCGGAAGGUUAAUUGAUGGGGUCAGCGCAAGCGAAGCUCCUGAUCGAAGCCCCGGUAAACGGCGGCCGUAACUAUAACGGUCCUAAGGUAGCGAAAUUCCUUGUCGGGUAAGUUCCGACCUGCACGAAUGGCGUAAUGAUGGCCAGGCUGUCUCCACCCGAGACUCAGUGAAAUUGAACUCGCUGUGAAGAUGCAGUGUACCCGCGGCAAGACGGAAAGACCCCGUGAACCUUUACUAUAGCUUGACACUGAACAUUGAGCCUUGAUGUGUAGGAUAGGUGGGAGGCUU
Molecule: ribosomal RNA, 919 nt
Filed under: Salmonella enterica subsp. enterica serovar Mbandaka
Lineage: Bacteria; Pseudomonadati; Pseudomonadota; Gammaproteobacteria; Enterobacterales; Enterobacteriaceae
Description: partial 23S ribosomal RNA
Rfam family: Bacterial large subunit ribosomal RNA
Source: RNAcentral